RNAcentral lists this ribosomal RNA (432 nucleotides) under uncultured bacterium. Its description in RNAcentral is "partial 16S ribosomal RNA". It matches the Rfam family "Bacterial small subunit ribosomal RNA", at positions 29 to 506 of the family's 1533-position model. The record is from RNAcentral.
AACGAACGCUGGCGGCAGGCUUAACACAUGCAAGUCGAACGCACCUUUCGGGGUGAGUGGCAGAAGGGUGAGUAACGCGUGGGAAUCUACCCUUCUCUACGGGAUAGCUCCGGGAAACUGGAAUUAAUACCGUAUACGUCCUGAGGGAGAAAGAUUUAUCGGGGAAGGAUGAGCCCGCGUUGGAUUAGCUAGUUGGUGGGGUAAAGGCCUACCAAGGCGACGAUCCAUAGCUGGUCUAAGAGGAUGAUCAGCCACAUUGGGACUGAGACACGGCCCAAACUCCUACGGGAGGCAGCAGUGGGGAAUAUUGGACAAUGGGCGCAAGCCUGAUCCAGCCAUGCCGCGUGAGUGAUGAAGGCCCUAGGGUUGUAAAGCUCUUUCAGUGGGGACGAUAAUGACGGUACCCACAGAAGAAGCCCCGGCUAACUUCGU